This 492-nucleotide ribosomal RNA is filed under the name uncultured bacterium. RNAcentral describes it as "partial 16S ribosomal RNA". It matches the Rfam family "Bacterial small subunit ribosomal RNA", at positions 29 to 507 of the family's 1533-position model. The record is from RNAcentral.
AGUGAACGCUGGCGGUAGGCCUAACACAUGCAAGUCGAACGGCAGCACAGUAAGAGCUUGCUCUUACGGGUGGCGAGUGGCGGACGGGUGAGGAAUACAUCGGAAUCUACUUUUUCGUGGGGGAUAACGUAGGGAAACUUACGCUAAUACCACAUACGGCCUACGGGUGAAAGCAGGGGAUCUUCGGACCUUGCGCGAUUGAAUGAGCCGAUGUCGGAUUAGCUAGUUGGCGGGGUAAAGGCCCACCAAGGCGACGAUCCGUAGCUGGUCUGAGAGGAUGAUCAGCCACACUGGAACUGAGACACGGUCCAGACUCCUACGGGAGGCAGCAGUGGGGAAUAUUGGACAAUGGGCGCAAGCCUGAUCCAGCCAUACCGCGUGGGUGAAGAAGGCCUUCGGGUUGUAAAGCCCUUUUGUUGGGAAAGAAAAGCAGCAGGUUAAUACCCCGCUGUUCUGACGGUACCCAAAGAAUAAGCACCGGCUAACUUCGUG